CAGACAUGGGUUCAAGCCUAGACUCAGGAUUUAUGAUCCGUGUGACCCAGGGCAAGUCACUUAUCUCUCUCAUUUCCUCACCUGAGAAAAGAGAACAGUGUGCCGGGAUAAGCAAGUGAAACCUGAUUUUGCUGGAUGUCAGGCAUGCAGUGGGUGCACAAUAAGUGGUCAUCUCUAAGAUAAAGAUGCUCAUCUUUGGCUGCUCAUCGUAGCUUGUGAGCUAGGCAGGGCAAAGGGUCACCGUCCCCAUGGACCAGAUGGGGAGUCUGGCUCAGUUCUCACUCCGCCCAGGGAGCCCAGUGGGCCCCAGUCCCCGCCGGGUGACGGCUGCGGGCCGACUCCCACCCAGCGCAGGAAUGCGGGGGCGCUGACGCCGGGCCUUUUCCGCUCGGGCUGCGCGGGCCGGCGACACAGCAGAUUCCCCGGCCACACCUGGCCGUGCAGCUGUCCGAGCUGGACCGGGUCGCGGAUUCCCCAGUCCUCCGGCCCCGGCCCCUGAGGGCACCGCCUUGACCCCAGCGCGCCCCUCGGGGGUCUACGCGCUGGCCAGCCCCACCCUUUAGUUACCCCUCCUUGUUUUGGGAGGGGGCUGGUCCUCUCCCACACCCAGGAAGGGGAGGGGUUCCCUGGCUCAGCCGUGCGAACACCCUGCUCAGAAUCCUUCGCGGGCAGAGGAAGACAGGGAGAGACCCCUCAGGGGCAACUCCUUGGUUUCAGAGUUCUGGGGGUCCGCGGAAAUUCAGCCCCUAGGAGAUUAAUCUGGUGACAACUGACAACACACACAAGUUUCCUUUACGACACGUGCAAGUUUAACCAACAGCACCAUGACGUGAGUCCCUGAGGAUGCCGAGAUGAGGGAAGUGAGGCUCAGAGAAGACUUGUGACCUGCAUCGGGUCCUCCCGAGCUGUCUGACUCCACGGCUCUGGUCCUUGCCUGCUGUUGGACCAUCCUGCCUCCCCCUGGAUGACCUGCCAGAGAGUGGACGCUGCUCUCUGGGGCCCGAGAGAGCGGGGGUCAGACUGGGGAGCCCACAGGUGCGUCUGGGUGGGCUUUGUUUUCGGAGGAGCUGGUUUCUCUGAAUCUGUCCUGAAUCUCCCCUUGCUGGAUCAGGAACUACCAUCGGCAGCUCAGACAGCCCAGCCACCGCUGUGCUGUGGAGACACACCAAGCCACAGGGGGCGAGGCCUGGCUCCCAGACUUAUUUGCUGUGUGACUGUCGGCACGCUGGCUUCCUGUUUGAACCUUCGUGUCCUCAACUGUUCAAAGAAGAUGAAGAUCCUCAUGUGUGGUUAAGGCGGUAACAGAUGGAAGGUUUUGUCUUUUGGAAGAACCUGGAGCAUUUGACGGGAAGAGUUUUCAAGAGUCUGGAUCACCGCUGUUAUUUUUCAUAUGUGCUCCCUUCCCUCCAGCUCCCUCUUUCCAGCUCCUUCCCUCUUUGUGCUUGGAUUUGAAGUGACAUAGAUUGGGUCGCAUAGUGACAUAGGACUGUUUUUCCAGUUGCUGUGUGACCUUGGACAAGUCCCUUAACCUCUCUGAACCUGUUUCCUCAACUGGCAAAUGAAAGGAUGACCUAAAAGAUCUCUGAGGGCCUUCCAGCUUUCUCCGUCUCAUCUCUCAAGCACCAGGCUCCUGUCUCACAGUCUCUUCUUAAAAGCAACUUUACUGGGCGAAAAGAACACUGGGAUGAGAAUCAGAGAGACCUGCUGGAAUCCAAUUUGCACCGGGACUAGCUCUGUGAACUUGGGCAAGUUGCUUAACCUCUCUGAGUUUCUACUUCCUCGUCUGUAGAAUGGGGAUCCUGAUACCUGACCCCUGGAUCUGGAGCAAGGCUUAAAUGAGAUCUUGUCCAUAAAGCAUUUGGUGUCUGGCACUAAAUGGAUAUGCUAAAGAAAUGUUGC
RNAcentral lists this long non-coding RNA (1899 nucleotides) under Equus caballus (horse). Its description in RNAcentral is "lncRNA (ENSECAG00000047522.1)". Lineage: Eukaryota; Metazoa; Chordata; Mammalia; Perissodactyla; Equidae. The record is from RNAcentral.